CAGUCGCCACGGGAAUACGUAGGUGGCAAGCGUUGUCCGGAAUUAUUGGGCGUAAAGGGCUCGCAGGCGGUUUCUUAAGUCUGAUGUGAAAGCCCCCGGCUCAACCGGGGAGGGUCAUUGGAGACUGGGAAACUUGAGUGCAGGAGAGGAGAGUGGAAUUCCACGUGUAGCGGUGAAAUGCGUAGAGAUGUGGAGGAACACCAGUGGCGAAGGCGACUCUCUGGUCUGUAACUGACGCUGAGGAGCGAAAGCGUGGGGAGCGAACAGGAUUAGAUACCCGCGUAGUCCCUGUCUCUUAUAC
Molecule: ribosomal RNA, 301 nt
Filed under: uncultured bacterium
Lineage: Bacteria
Description: partial 16S ribosomal RNA
Rfam family: Bacterial small subunit ribosomal RNA
Source: RNAcentral